GGCGUACUGAUGACCUCAGUGUCGUCGGGUGCGAUGAUCCCUGAGAGCUGAUAUUUGGGACAGUGGGCGGCUCAAAAAAGGCGGGUGUGCUUGUCAAAGGGACACUCUGCCAUCCAGGUUCAAGGACCCACGUCUUGUGCAAGUUGAUUGCAUGGUCACCCGAUUCCUUGGUGGAUUUCACCUGUUCAUUCAGGAGGGCACAGAGAGACUGGACCACAUGGAGCAUUGCAGUGGGUGGCGGCUAGAGUGCCGUGGCGCUCAAUGUCAUUCUCCCUCGUUAUCAAAAGGUAAGGCAUCCCCAGUUUCUUCUGAGGACCUUCUCUCCCCCACUUUCAAUUCACAGACUUCUCCUGGAAUUGGUUCCACCCCCAACUCU
Molecule: long non-coding RNA, 376 nt
Organism: Myotis daubentonii (Daubenton's bat)
Lineage: Eukaryota; Metazoa; Chordata; Mammalia; Chiroptera; Vespertilionidae
Exons: 3
Source: RefSeq, a predicted model, not a curated record